UCCGGCGACUUUUCCGGCGAU
This 21-nucleotide small nuclear RNA is filed under the name Arabidopsis thaliana (thale cress). RNAcentral's name for it is "snRNA_15490". The record is from RNAcentral. Lineage: Eukaryota; Viridiplantae; Streptophyta; Magnoliopsida; Brassicales; Brassicaceae.